GCAGUGCCUAGAGAGAAAUGGAGAGCGAGCGAGGUGGCGCCGUUUCCUGGAAUCCAGUCGUGGUCUGGUGCAUGAAGUGUGAGCAGCAAGAUCCUAGAUACUCACCUUACACCUUGGUGCGGAUAACAGAGGCAGAGAUGAGGGCCUAUCACCGUUUAGUAGGAAGUUGCAUCAGGCUGGAAUAUAUGGCAAAAAAAGAUGAAAUUAUGCAGCAGGAAGUCAGGCCCCUGAUGGCGGUGGAGAUAAUAGAACAACUUCACAGACAAUUUGCCAUUCUUUCAGGAGGCCGAGGGGAGGAUGGCGCCCCCAUCAUCACGUUCCCAGAGUUUUCGGGGUUCAAACACAUCCCAGAUGAAGACUUCCUGAAUGUCAUGACCUACCUGACUAGCAUCCCCAGUGUGGAGGCUGCCAGCAUUGGAUUCGUUGUUGUUAUCGACAGACGAAGAGACAAGUGGAGCUCCGUAAAGGCAUCCUUGACACGAAUAGCUGUGGCAUUUCCAGGAAACUUACAGCUCAUAUUCAUCCUUCGUCCAUCUCGCUUUAUCCAGAGGACAUUCACUGACAUUGGCAUUAAAUACUAUCGAAAUGAGUUUAAAACGAAAGUGCCGAUCAUCAUGGUAAACUCUGUCUCUGACCUUCAUGGCUACAUCGACAAAAGCCAACUGACCCGGGAAUUAGGGGGGACUUUGGAAUAUCGCCACGGUCAGUGGGUAAAUCACCGCACUGCCAUCGAAAACUUUGCCUUGACCUUGAAGACCACUGCCCAGAUGCUGCAGACGUUUGGGUCCUGCCUGGCCACAGCAGAGCUGCCCAGAAGCAUGCUAUCCACGGAAGACCUUCUCAUGUCCCACACAAGGCAGCGGGACAAGCUGCAGGAUGAGCUGAAAUUACUUGGAAAGCAGGGGACCACAUUGCUGUCAUGCAUCCAAGAACCAGCAACCAAAUAUCCCAACAGCAAACUCAAUCUCAACCAACUUGAGAAUGUAACUACCAUGGAAAGGUUAUUAGUUCAACUGGAUGAAACAGAAAAAGCCUUUAGUCAGUUUUGGUCUGAGCAUCAUCUGAAGCUUAACCAGUGCCUACAACUACAGCAUUUUGAGCACGAUUUUUGUAAGGGUCUUGCUCUGUCACUCCGGCCGAAGUGCAGUGGUGUGAUCAUGGCUCACUGCAGCUUUGAUCUUCUGGGCUCAAGCUGUCCUCCCACCUCAGCCUCCCAAGUAGCUGGAAUUACAGGCAUGCCCCACCAUCACACCCGGCUAAGCUUGCCCUGGAUAAUUUGCUGGAAGAGCAAGCAGAGUUUACAGGCAUUGGAGACAGCGUGAUGCACGUGGAGCAGCUUCUUAAGGAACACAAAAAACUGGAGGAAAAAAGCCAGGAGCCCCUGGAAAAGGCCCAGCUGCUGGCACUGGUUGGGGACCAGCUCAUCCAAAGCCACCAUUAUGCAGCAGAUGCCAUCAGGCCCCGGUGUGUGGAGCUCAGGCACCUCUGUGACGAUUUCAUCAAUGGAAACAAGAAAAAAUGGGACAUUUUAGGAAAGUCCUUAGAGUUUCAUAGACAGCUGGACAAGGUCAGCCAAUGGUGUGAGGCAGGAAUCUACCUCUUGGCUUCCCAAGCUGUAGACAAGUGCCAGUCUCGAGAAGGGGUUGACAUCGCCUUGAACGACAUUGCGACAUUCCUGGGCACAGUCAAGGAGUACCCGUUGCUCAGCCCCAAGGAGUUUUACAACGAGUUUGAGUUGCUGCUCACCCUCGAUGCAAAGGCCAAAGCCCAGAAAGUUUUGCAGAGGCUGGAUGAUGUCCAGGAAAUAUUUCACAAGAGGCAAGUGAGUCUGAUGAAACUGGCAGCCAAACAGACUCGUCCAGUGCAACCUGUGGCCCCACAUCCUGAGUCUUCACCAAAAUGGGUGUCAUCAAAAACCAGCCAGCCCUCCACCUCGGUCCCUCUAGCUCGUCCUCUGAGAACGUCUGAGGAACCUUAUACGGAGACAGAGUUGAACUCCCGGGGAAAGGAAGAUGAUGAGACUAAAUUUGAAGUCAAGAAUGAAGAAAUCUUUGAAAGCCAUCAUGAAAGGGGGAACCCUGAGCUGGAGCAGCAGGCCAGGCUCGGAGACCUUUCCCCCCGCAGUGUGAUCACAGUGUGCGUUUGUGAGAUGCUGACCUUGGGUGUUCAAUAGAACAGAAUGAACUGACCAGAAACUAAGUAGGCGCAUUAUACGUGACUUGCUUGAGACUGAAGAGAUUUACGUAAAAGAGAUUAAAAGCAUAAUUGAUGGAUACAUCACUCCAAUGGAUUUUAUUUGGCUAAAGCAUCUAAUUCCAGAUGUUCUUCAGAAUAACAAGGACUUUCUCUUUGGGAAUAUUAGAGAACUUUACGAAUUUCACAACAGGACUUUUCUAAAAGAGUUGGAAAAGUGUGCUGAGAACCCUGAACUUCUGGCACAUUGCUUUCUCAAGAGAGUAAGUCUGUACUCCCAGUAAAUAAUCAUGUUAAAGUCAGCCCUUACUUUUCUGUGUUAAGUGGCAAGGACAAAUGGAAACACCAAUGGUCUAAAAACAUAUCUGCUUCCCCCCGACUCCAAGCUUUACUGAAGUAUAAUUGGUAAAUAAAAAUUGCAUAUAUUCAAACUAUACAACAUGAUGGUUUGAUAUACUUACACCCUGUGAAAUGAUUACUGCAAUCAAGUUAAUGAAUACAUUCAUUACCAUUGUGUGUGUGUGUGUGUGUGUGUGUGUAUAUAUGUAUAUAUAUAUAAUCCAAAAAAGUUGAGCUCAUUGAAGUAGAAGGGUGGUUGCCAGGGGCUGGAGUCUACAGGAAGUAGGGAGAUGUUGGUCACAGGGUACAAACUUGCAGUUAUGAGAUGAGUAAGUCCUGGAGAUAUAACGCACAGCAUGGCGACUAUCAUGGAAUAAUACUGUACUGUACACUUGCAAUUUGCCAAGACAGUAUAUCUUGUAUCUGCCCUUUGAAUGGAAAACAUGAGUUGGCCUUCCAACUUUAUCUGACUUUAUCCAAGGUGAGAAUGAGUCCAAUUUGAUUGAGCUCACACUGAUAUGUGGGAGUAACCACAAGCCUGGCUUCCUGCAAAGCCCCAUGAAAUGGAAGGCUGGCCAUCCAUGGUCCCCAAAGCAGAGGAUCCUCUUCUGAAUGACUCAACUACGUUUUAAAACAAGAAUCAUACAGCGAGGUUAGAGUUCCACAAUAAAGCUGUACUAAUGCUCUCAAGAGGAGAAGCACUGGUGUUAAACUAAAAAUCUCAGGAAAUACAUUUUAUUUCCAUUCUAUUUUUUACAACAUAGAGGAUGAUUUGAAAAUUCUAAAUCUACAGCCUCCUUUAGGCUUAGUACUCAAUUUAUGAACAUCUUGGCCUACAACAUUAUACCUCCAACUACCCCUUCUUCCCACCUCCCAGACUUCUUCCCUCUUUCCCUGUUUCUCCACCCUGUUUUAGGCAACAAAUAGGCUAUAUGGGCCAGUGGGAGCUGCCACAGAGAAAUGUUUCACCCAACAUCAAUCCCCACCAGGUACUUUCUAGGACGCGACCAUGGAGAUGAUCCUGACCCCCUGUGCCUUCUAAAUAGUUCUCAUUUCUCCUCUCUUUCUCAACUAGUCCUUCUCAUUCUCUUUCUUAUUUUUCUUUUUGUGAACCCAAGGCAACAAAUCAAACAACUUAAAGUUGUAAGCAACUCAUAUUACGACUGAGGCUGAGAGCAAUACUUAUGAUAACUGGAAGCAAACAAAGCCUCCAGGUUUCAAGAUAUUUGACAUUAAUGGAGAGAAGGAAUCUUCCAUGCUCAGAGCCCUUUGCUGGCCUCAUAUGGCUUUCCAUGUCAACUCAUCAUAGGCUUUGUGUCAAAGCACCAGAAUUCAAUGUACACUGAAAACUAUUUUAUACUCAUUCUGAUUCAUUAAUUUUUUUGAACUAUUACAUUAUUAGUGCUUUAUAUACUAUUUUGAAUUUUUGCACUUAACAAACCACUAAUGUGAAAUCUAGUUUCAGAGAUUAGAAGUAUUUUAUGGUUAUGUAUGUCAUUACUGCAAAGAUUAUUUAAAUUGCUCAAUGAGAAAUGGGCAAAGUUCCUGUGGGAAAGUGGAUAUUAUCAAAUUGUUCAAAUAUGAGGAAAUUGUCAGAGAAUUAUUAACUAAAUACCUUUUCUGAAUUCCUCUCCUAAAUUGUAAAGUUUUACAAAGUUUUUUGAUAGCGCCCCGCCAUGUUGGGAGGAACAUUGUAAAUCAUUAACCCAGACAGAAAACACUGACUUAGCCCUAUAUGAUUUAUGAUGUUAGAGACAAAAUACAAGUAGUACUUUUUUUUUUUCUUGAGACGGAGUCUCGCUCUGUCACCAGGCUGGAGUGCUGUGGCGUGAUCUCGGCUCACUGCAACCUCUGACUCCCUGGUUCAAGCGAUUCUCCUGCCUCACCCUCCCUCGUAGCUGGGAUUACAGGCAUGUGCCACCACGCCCGGCUAAUUUUUGUAUUUUUAGUAGAGACGAGGUUUCAUCAUGUUGGCCAGGAUGGUCUCCAUCUCCUGACCUCGUGAUCUGCCCACCUCGGCCUUCCAAGAUAAUGAAUUUUGAAAUAGUUUUCUGACCAAGUGUUUUAAUCAGCCUCUUUAGCCUGUAUCUUCUGAAACAAUUCUCCUCCAGAGACCAUGUUCUAUAUAGAAUAAUAUUUGUCCAUAGUGUACUGUGGGUUCCAAGUGCUCUGAGAUCUCACAUGGUAAAAUGGAAAGAGCACUGGAAUGGGUGCUCACACUGAUAUGUGGGAGUAACUGGUAAGUCAGGAAACACGAUUUAUCAUGUUGGUCAAGCCACUUGCUAUCUGCAUGACCUCCAGUAAAUAACUUAAACUUUGGAAUCUCAUUUUCCUCCUCCACACAACAGGCUAAUAGUACCAAUAUGUACAGUUGUUGUGGGAAACAAAAUAAUGUAUGCAGAGGAUUCCAUAAAGUAAAAAGUGCUUUGACAAUAGCCACCAUUUUUUGAGUACUCUAUCCAUUGGGCAUUUGUGGAGAGGUUUCUAUACAUCAUCUCAUUUAAUCUCACAACAGUCACAGGAGUUGACUACUGUUAUGCGCCCACUUAACAGAUGAGGAAACUGAAGUCUAGGAAGGUUAGGUAACUUACUUUAGGCCAUAUAAUUUGUAUUUGACAAAGCCAAGAACUGAACCUGGACAAUCCGCCACCAGAGCCCCGCAGUCUUAAUCCGUAAGCAAUUAUGUAUUCUUAUGUGAAUAUGAGUUUCUGGUAGCAAUUUUAUAGCCUCCUGAUUCAUUCUAUAAGGAGAUUAGGAGAAUAGGGCACUUUUGUAUGUUGCUGGUUAGUGGACAUCCUUUCUCUGAGGAAUUUUGGACUGUUAGCCUUUAGAAGAGCAAUUUAGGUCAAUACUAUAUUGUUAAGCUCUGAGUUAUUAUUCUAGCUCCUUAACCAGUCUGAACAUUUUUCAAGGGCCAUCUGUCUUAAAUGUGUGUGCCAUUUUUUUCCUGGAGGGAAUAGCAAAGGACGGUUGCUGUAGUUCUUAUGCUGAAAUGACCACUUACAACCUAUUGGGAGAAAGAAAGAGCUACAGAAAUGGAAGUCAUCCACUAUAGCAAUGUAUUCAGGAGUAGAACAGGCAUCAUUGAAGCUGCGAGGGAAGAAAUCAUCUGUGUUGACAUGAAGGAAAUCCAGAGUUGGGCUGAGCAGGAGGACAGGGACACAGACUUCUGCAAGGAGGUGGCUACCUGGGCUUCUCCACCAGAAUGGCAUGGGAUCUGUGGCCAGCACAGCCGCUGUGGGCCAGGCUUCCUGAUAGAGCGAGUGAAGCUGGCAAGCUGACGCCAGAAGCUUGGAGUGUGCUUUCUCUCCGGGAUAUUGGCAGAUAUGUGCCCACCUCUCAGCAUCUUUGAUACCAUGAGAAUACAGGUUGAACAGCACGUUGAGUCCUCCUUGCUCUCUAGCUCCGAAACAGUCACAUAACAUUUCCUGUCUCAGAGUCUUGUGCUGCAGGUUGAAAGUGAUGUUUGAGGCGGAGCCUGUCACUUUGAGGGUUGCCCAAAUGACUGAGCUCCGUAUUGGUUGCCCGAUCUACCACAUCUCCCCUCUGGCAUGUUUCCAUCUUUUGGUUGUUUCUUGGGCUUCUUUGCAGGGUUGGUGUCACGAUGACCACAAGGAGAGGGUGGAGAGAGAAGAGAGGGGGACCAUCAAACACCAGCCUCUUUUCUGUCAGUUUUACUACUCAUUGCAGACCUGUUGUGGGGAGAUGUCGAUGUCCUGGACAAAGGGCAGGAAAAGAAUGAUAAAGAUAAAAACCAAUUCCUGUUUGUGAGUCUACUUAUGUAUUUACCAAUAGCCCUUGUAGAUGCUCCCAGAGCACUCUGUGCCUAUCUAUGUCUGGUAGUUAUGGUUGUUUAAAGCCUUCUGUUUAUCUCUCCAUCACACACACAUCCCAACAUAAGAUUACUUACUGUAUACCCCCAAUUCCUUACACAUUAGAAUACUCUGGCUUGUUGAAUGAAUGAAUAAACUGUAUCAUCCUGUCCACUUACUGAAAAAUGCUGCCCGAUUAAUUUAUUCUAAUUUUUUCCCACCUAGAAAGAAGAUCUUCAGAUAUAUUUUAAAUACCAUAAGAAUCUGCCCCGAGCUAGGGCAAUCUGGCAAGAGUGUCAAGACUGCGCCUACUUUGGGGUAUGCCAGCGCCAACUGGAUCACAAUCUCCCUCUUUUUAAGUAUCUUAAAGGACCAAGCCAGAGACUUAUAAAAUACCAGAUGCUGUUGAAGGGUCUGCUGGAUUUCGAGUCUCCUGAAGAUAUGGAGAUAGACCCAGGUGAACUAGGAGGCUCGGCUAAGGAUGGGCCAAAGAGAACCAAAGAUUCAGCAUUCUCAACUGAACUACAACAAGCUUUGGCAGUGAUAGAGGAUUUGAUCAAGUCCUGUGAGUUGGCUGUGGACCUAGCAGCAGUGACUGAAUGUCCGGACGAUAUUGGAAAACUAGGCAAGCUGUUGCUGCACGGCCCUUUCAGUGUCUGGACAAUUCACAAGGAUCGUUAUAAAAUGAAGGAUUUGAUUCGAUUUAAACCCAGCCAGAGGCAAAUCUACCUAUUUGAAAGGGGAAUAGUGUUCUGUAAGAUACGAAUGGAGCCUGGGGACCAGGGAUUGUCUCCUCAUUACAGCUUCAAGAAGGCCAUGAAGCUGAUGACACUUUCAAUUCGCCAGCUUGGAAGGGGGAGUCAUAGAAAGUUUGAGAUUGCCAGUCGAAAUGGACUUGAGAAAUACAUCCUGCAGGCAGCUUCAAAAGAAACCAGAGACUGUUGGUUUUCAGAAAUAAGUAAAUUAUUGAUGGAACAACAAAAUAAUAUCAAAGACCAAGGAAAUCCACAGUUUGAAAUGAGCACGAGCAAAGGCAAUGGAGCAGGAUGCGGACCAUGGAUUAAAAAUAUGGAAAGAGCUACCACUAGCAAGGAAGACCCAGCCUCCAGCACAGGAGGGAUUAAAGGUAGGGAGGGUCCCAUGGGAGAGUGGAGCACAGAAGCAGUGGGGUGAUGCCGGCUGCUUAGAUGCUAAGGAAGACAUCACCUAGGGCCCAGCCCUUCUUUAGUUAAAUGAGGGAGAAAAAAGAAAGCAUUUUACCACCAUGUGGUUUAAAAUCAAUUUCCUGCUAUUCAUUUGUGUAGAACUAAUGGGGCAGAAUUAACAUGAAGGGCAAAUGUCUCACAUUGAGAAGUACAGGAGCACCCCCUUAUCCACUGUUUCACUUUCCAGGUUUUAGUUACUCUUAGUCAACUGCUGUCCAAAUAUCAAAUGGAAAAAUUACAGAAAUAAACAAUCGAUGAGUUUUAAAUGAUA
RNAcentral lists this small RNA (7820 nucleotides) under Pan troglodytes (chimpanzee). Its description in RNAcentral is "retained intron". Lineage: Eukaryota; Metazoa; Chordata; Mammalia; Primates; Hominidae. The record is from RNAcentral.